Molecule: ribosomal RNA, 574 nt
Filed under: uncultured methanogenic archaeon
Lineage: Archaea; Methanobacteriati; Methanobacteriota
Description: bacterial SSU rRNA
Rfam family: Archaeal small subunit ribosomal RNA
Source: RNAcentral
CGCGAAAACUUUACAAUGCUGGCAACAGCGAUAAGGGAACCUCGAGUGCCAGGUUACAAAUCUGACUGUCGAGAUGCCUAAAAAGCAUUUCAUAGCAAGGGCCGGGCAAGACCGGUGCCAGCCGCCGCGGUAACACCGGCGGCUCGAGUGGUAACCGUUAUUAUUGGGUCUAAAGGGUCUGUAGCCGGCCGGAUAAGUCUCUUGGGAAAUCUGGCAGCUCAACUGUCAGGCUUUCAGGAGAUACUGUCUGGCUCGAGGCCGGGAGAGGUGAGAGGUACUUCAGGGGUAGGGGUGAAAUCUUGUAAUCCUUGAAGGACCACCAGUGGCGAAGGCGUCUCACCAGAACGGACCUGACGGCAAGGGACGAAAGCUAGGGGCACGAACCGGAUUAGAUACCCGGGUAGUCCUAGCCGUAAACGAUACUCGCUAGGUGUCGGCCACGGUGCGACCGUGGUCGGUGCCGUAGGGAAGCCGUGAAGCGAGCCACCUGGGAAGUACGGCCGCAAGGCUGAAACUUAAAGGAAUUGGCGGGGGAGCACCACAACGGGUGGAGCUUGCGGUUUAAUUGGAUUCA